RNAcentral lists this ribosomal RNA (572 nucleotides) under Bipolaris cynodontis. RNAcentral describes it as "eukaryotic LSU rRNA". The stretch from base 197 to 350 matches the Rfam family "5.8S ribosomal RNA". Lineage: Eukaryota; Fungi; Ascomycota; Dothideomycetes; Pleosporales; Pleosporaceae. The record is from RNAcentral.
CCGUAGGGACUGCGGAGGGAUCAUUACACAAUAAAAUAUGAAGGCCUGGCUUCGCGGCCGGCUGAAAUAUUUUUUCACCCAUGUCUUUUGCGCACUUGUUGUUUCCUGGGCGGGUUCGCCCGCCACCAGGACCAAACCAUAAACCUUUUUCUUAUGCAGUUUCCAUCAGCGUCAGUAAAAACAAUGUAAUAAUUACAACUUUCAACAACGGAUCUCUUGGUUCUGGCAUCGAUGAAGAACGCAGCGAAAUGCGAUACGUAGUGUGAAUUGCAGAAUUCAGUGAAUCAUCGAAUCUUUGAACGCACAUUGCGCCCUUUGGUAUUCCAAAGGGCAUGCCUGUUCGAGCGUCAUUUGUACCUUCAAGCUUUGCUUGGUGUUGGGCGUUUUUGUCUCCCUCUUUCUGGGAGACUCGCCUUAAAACGAUUGGCAGCCGGCCUACUGGUUUCGGAGCGCAGCACAUUUUUUGCGCUUUGUAUCAGGAGAAAAGGACGGUACUCCAUCAAGACUUUUACAAUUUUAACUUUUGACCUCGGAUCAGGUAGGGAUACCCGCUGAACUUAAGCAUAUCAAUA